This 70-nucleotide non-coding RNA is filed under the name uncultured Nitzschia. The record is from RNAcentral. Lineage: Eukaryota; Bacillariophyta; Bacillariophyceae; Bacillariales; Bacillariaceae.
CAGCAGCGCUGUCAACAACAAGAACGGGGAUGAUGGUGAAGUCCCUGCAGAUACUGUGUUCCGGAAUUGG